RNAcentral lists this ribosomal RNA (460 nucleotides) under uncultured bacterium. Its description in RNAcentral is "partial 16S ribosomal RNA". It matches the Rfam family "Bacterial small subunit ribosomal RNA", at positions 338 to 795 of the family's 1533-position model. The record is from RNAcentral.
CCUACGGGUGGCAGCAGUGAGGAAUAUUGGUCAAUGGGCGCUAGCCUGAACCAGCCAAGUAGCGUGAAGGAUGACUGCCCUACGGGUUGUAAACCUCUUUUAUAUGGGAACAAAGUGCAGUACGUAUACUGCUUUGCAUGUACCUUAAGAAUAAGGAUCGGCUAACUCCGUGCCAGCAGCCGCGGUAAUACGGAGGAUUCGAGCGUUAUCCGGAUUUAUUGGGUUUAAAGGGUGCGUAGGCGGGAUGUUAAGUCAGUUGUGAAAGUUUGGGGCUCAACCCUAAAAUUGCAGUUGAUACUGGCAUCCUUGAGUACGGGAGAGGUAGGCGGAAUGCGUGGUGUAGCGGUGAAAUGCUUAGAUAUCACGAAGAACUCCGAUUGCGAAGGCAGCCUGCUGGACUGUAACUGACGCUGAUGCACGAAAGUGUGGGUAUCGAACAGGAUUAGAUACCCUUGUAGUC